This 1275-nucleotide long non-coding RNA is filed under the name Marmota monax (woodchuck). Lineage: Eukaryota; Metazoa; Chordata; Mammalia; Rodentia; Sciuridae. The record is from RNAcentral.
GCAAGCCAGGAAACAGGUUCAGAGAAACAAGGGACUGAUUUGCUUGAGAUCUGAGGGUCAAGGUCAAAUUGGCAGUGGCACCUGAAUUGGCUGUUUCAAGCUUGGUGUGCUCUUCAUCUGGAGAAAAAGUCCUGAAUGAAACCGUCUGUCUUUGGGGAGUUUCCUUUUGAGCUAUUGCAGUAAAGUAAUUAAUAGUAGGAGCCAUCUCAAUUGACUAGCUCAUUACACUUCUGUGUUUCCUAGCUUGAAAGAAAAAAUAAUUUUACAGUUCACAAAUAAGUAAUGCCUGAAUUUCUAUUUCUGUGUAAGUUUUGAGUACAAAGGAUUGCCAGCUCACUGACUUAAAUGUUUAGAAUAACCACUCCUCACUUCUUAGCAGUAUUCUCCACCCUUUGUGCCUUCAAUAACUUCUAUCCUUGUAUACACAAUCGCUUUCCAUUCUCAAGUGUCUUUGAAAGGAACAUCUGACAAUCUUUAAACACAUUCACAUCGAAGUUAGAAUUAGGACACGGGUUAUUCUGAACAAGAAAAUGUAACAAAACUUGCUAAGAAUUAUAUAAUGUGCUGUUAGCAUUUUUUUUCUUAUUUUUUUAGUUGUAGACGGACACAAUGCCUUUAUUUACGUGGUGAAGACUGAACCCAGUGCCUCACAUGUGCGAGGCAAGCACUCUAUCAUGAGCUACAACUCCAGCCCCUGCUUUUUACAUGUUUAUGUCAAUGAGGUCUAAAGCAAAAUCUAUAAAUGGGUUCUCCCAAAAUCCCACAAGAUUUUGACUACAAUUCUAUUCCUUAAAAAAAAAAAUAAAAAAAUUAAUUUUCUUAAUGGUUAUAACUCAUUUAUUCAGAAAUUAGACACUUAUUCCAACACUUUUCUUUUGUGGUGCUGGGGCUCAAACUCAGGACCUCCAGGAUGCCCUCUACCACUGAGCCACACCACCAACCCCUAUGAUGACUUUGUUUAUUAUGGUUACAAAUUUCAAAUAUUGUAAAAUCUCAAAUAUAGUUUAAACAUGAGCAGUAUGCUGUGUUUAAAGCCAACUUGGACUGUAAACCACAUUUCCCACUGCUACCAAUCCUAUUCAUCUCAUUAAGUGUUGUGAAUUCACUCCUGGGCUUAGUUUGGUAGAACUAAGGCGUUUAAAAGAUUACAUCAAAGAGCUUAGUUAUUAAAGUUUAUGAUCUAAAUGUAUGAGAGAAGGUUUUUUUUUAAAUAUUUUUAUUUGUUAUGAAUGGACCUUUAUCUAUUUUUUUAAUAUGUGGUGCUAAGAAUCGAAC